UACGUAGGGGGCAAGCGUUGUCCGGAUUUAUUGGGCGUAAAGAGCGUGUAGGCGGCCUGAAAGGUCAGCUGUGAAAACUCGAGGCUCAACCUCGAGACGUCGGUUGAAACCAUCUGGCUAGAGUCCGGAAGAGGAGUGUGGAAUUCCCGGUGUAGCGGUGGAAUGCGCAGAUAUCGGGAGGAACACCAAUUGCGAAGGCAGCUCGCUGGGACGUUACUGACGCGUGAGA
RNAcentral lists this ribosomal RNA (229 nucleotides) under uncultured bacterium. Its description in RNAcentral is "partial 16S ribosomal RNA". It matches the Rfam family "Bacterial small subunit ribosomal RNA", at positions 524 to 751 of the family's 1533-position model. The record is from RNAcentral.